RNAcentral lists this small RNA (573 nucleotides) under Pongo abelii (Sumatran orangutan). RNAcentral's name for it is "processed transcript". The record is from RNAcentral. Lineage: Eukaryota; Metazoa; Chordata; Mammalia; Primates; Hominidae.
ACACCACCCACACACACCACCACGCCCUGUCCCCUUUCUCCACCCUGCAAGCUAGUUGCAUUUACCUCACAGAGCCUGGGCUGCGACUUGAAAGACUUUAGGCAGCAACAGAGUGACCCUGGGGGUGCUCUUGACCGACAGCCGCACCUCCGGCGUCUAGGACCUCCGAGCAGGGAUGCAUCUGGGGGUCUAGGGAAGCACUUCCACCCCCUCCUCUCCUCAACCCUGGCAGGAUGUGCCCGAAAUGCCAGCUCCUCCUUGGUGUUCUCCUUUCAAGAUUUGAAUUCAAAUCCCAUAUUGGCAGCCCUGAUACCGCUGGGGGAAGGGUGAGGCUACCGCUGCUUCAAGACAGUGACGUUUCUCUCCGGUCAGCUGUCAGGAGCGCUGAUGAGCUUCCUACUGUGCCACAAGGUGCGGGUGCUGGAGACACAGCUGAGCCUGGAAAUGAGAGUGGGCAUCGCCGUGGUCAUCAUGACUCCUCUGUGGUGUGGUCACCAUCUGGGUCUUACUGGGGAUCUGGCCAGCCUUGGGGACCCUUGGGGCCCUGGCCCAGUGGAAGCUUGUGCCUGAGGA